UUGGGCCAGGUAUAGGUCGUGUCUUCGGUCCAGGUUCUUCUGCCCAAGGCUAAUAUG
RNAcentral lists this small RNA (57 nucleotides) under Arabidopsis thaliana (thale cress). Its description in RNAcentral is "ATSL111900". Lineage: Eukaryota; Viridiplantae; Streptophyta; Magnoliopsida; Brassicales; Brassicaceae. The record is from RNAcentral.